Nelumbo nucifera (sacred lotus) is the source of this 1204-nucleotide RNA transcript. It is a transcript of the gene named F-box/kelch-repeat protein At5g43190-like, with no coding region annotated. The record is from RefSeq and is a predicted model, not a curated record. NCBI's taxonomy places the organism in Eukaryota, Viridiplantae, Streptophyta, Magnoliopsida, Proteales, Nelumbonaceae.
UCCAAGGGGGAAUAUGAAUUCAGGAAGGAAUGCUGCCCAAAUCCAUGAUUUCUCAGACGAGGGAAUCCUAACCGGCCAAAUCCUCAGCCAAAUCAGUAACCAGAAUGACUUUCUUUCCCUGUAAGAAUGACAGAACCACCAUAUCUUCUAGAGGAGUUGGUAGCAACAAUGGAUCUAAGCAUUGCCAGGUCGUUCGGAUGCAUCAUUGAACUGUUCCUUUGGAUGCCGAAAAUCUCAUAACCGUUCAGUGAUUAAGAUACCUCCGAGCGCAUUCGGAGGUAGCGGACGAAACUUCACUUCCAACUGUGCCCAAAAUCUCAAAAUCGCCUACACUAACGGUGGUGACUGGUCUCCCCACUAUUCUUGAGUUUUGCAUUUUUCUGUUUGUCCCAUGUUUUUCAAUGACCCGUGACCACCAUCUAGUUUUUUGGUUGAUGAGGGUUGAUUUGGCCUGCCAAUUCUAAAGCACCACGUGGCAUGUCUUAACUAUUAGAUUACACUUCGGUGCCACAUGGGGCAGGUGGAUGGAGUUGAGACGACUUAGGCUGACUUACCUCCGAGCUGAGGAAGAGCGAUAGAUCGCUUCGUGGAAGGGUGGCACACACACCAACUCUGGAUCUCCAGCCCACAGGAACUCUAUCUAUGCCUACUCACAAAACACUAUAUCCCAUGAAUUGGGAAUAUCUCCCCUGUAUAAUAUUAUGUAAAAGAUGAGAUAUUCUCUAUGUGUGAUUGCGAUUAAUGUGGGCAGAGUUCUCGUGGGCAGAAAAUCUGGACUCACACACACCACCUCGAGAGGACAAGCCAAAGACCUCAGAGGCCAGCAUGACUUCCCCAACCUAGGCAGAUGAAGACCUGAGUAGUGAGAAGAACUUCUGGGGUACCAACCUACCGACCAAGUGGCCGAAUGUUCUUAUCCAGAAUGUAGCAUGUCAACUACCCAGUACACAUAUCUCCGGUUCCUGCACAAUUCAAGAAGAUCGUAUUUGGAUCACCGCCAACAUGGAAGAAAGGCACUCCAAAGAUAACAGACCGAUAAGGCAGACUGUUCCCGGGUAUCUCAAACACGGAAUACGGAUCCUGACAUCUAUAAAAAAGGACGUCAGAAGGUACUUGUAAUCUGUUCCAACUAUUCACCUUUUGCUCUUUUUCAUGUUCUCAUCGCUGACUUAAGAAUCCGAGUACCCAAUUCAAGAUUGAGCUC